RNAcentral lists this ribosomal RNA (732 nucleotides) under uncultured bacterium. RNAcentral describes it as "bacterial SSU rRNA". It matches the Rfam family "Bacterial small subunit ribosomal RNA", at positions 771 to 1501 of the family's 1533-position model. The record is from RNAcentral.
AACAGGAUUAGAUACCCUGGUAGUCCACGCCCUAAACGAUGUCAACUAGGUGUUGGGGAAGGAGACUUCUUUAGUACCGCAGCUAACGCGAUAAGUUGACCGCCUGGGGAGUACGGUCGCAAGAUUAAAACUCAAAGGAAUUGACGGGGACCCGCACAAGCGGUGGAUUAUGUGGAUUAAUUCGAUGCAACGCGAAAAACCUUACCUACCCUUGACAUGUCAGGAAGAUCGCAGAGAUGUGAUUGUGCCCGAAAGGGAACCUGAACACAGGUGCUGCAUGGCUGUCGUCAGCUCGUGUCGUGAGAUGUUGGGUUAAGUCCCGCAACGAGCGCAACCCUUGUCAUUAAUUGCCAUCAUUCAGUUGGGCACUUUAAUGAGACUGCCGGUGAUAAACCGGAGGAAGGUGGGGAUGACGUCAAGUCCUCAUGGCCCUCAUGGGUAGGGCUUCACACGUAAUACAAUGGUCGGUACAGAGGGUUGCCAACCCGCGAGGGGGAGCUAAUCUCAGAAAGCCGAUCGUAGUCCGGAUUGUUCUCUGCAACUCGAGAGCAUGAAGUCGGAAUCGCUAGUAAUCGCGGAUCAGCAUGUCGCGGUGAAUACGUUCCCGGGUCUUGUACACACCGCCCGUCACACCAUGGGAGUGGAAUCUGGCAGAAGUAGGUAGCUUAACCGCAAGGAGGGCGCUUACCACGCUGGGUUUCAUGACUGGGGUGAAGUCGUAACAAGGUAACC